Molecule: ribosomal RNA, 392 nt
Filed under: uncultured bacterium
Lineage: Bacteria
Description: bacterial SSU rRNA
Rfam family: Bacterial small subunit ribosomal RNA
Source: RNAcentral
GACGAACGCUGGCGGCGUGCUUAACACAUGCAAGUGGUGCGACGAACCAGGGCUUGCCCUGGGGCAAAGCCGCGAACGGGUGAGUAACACGUGGGUAAUCUGCCCCGAUGACCGGGACAACCCGAGGAAACUCGGGCUAAUACCGGAUGAUGAGCCUUGGCGUAAGCCUUGUCUCUAAAGGAAGCUUCGGCCUCCGCAUUGGGAGGAGCCCGCGGCCCAUUAGCUUGUUGGUGGGGUAAUGGCCACCAAGGCAACGAUGGGUAGCUGGUCUGAGAGGACGAUCAGCCACACUGGGACUGAGACACGGCCCAGACUCCUACGGGAGGCAGCAGUGGGGAAUCUUGCGCAAUGCGCGAAAGCGUGACGCAGCAACGCCGCGUGGGGGAAGACGG